GUCUGGCUAAUGGCGCUUCUCCUGAUCUCAGCCUGCACCCUCGGUUCUUGGCUGUCUGUUUUUCUGGCUCCCCUUGCUUGCAGACCUCACUGUAAUGGUCUGGUUUCCAUGACUCAGCUCACUCAUGGACUUUUCUCUCCUCUUAAUUUCGUGGCUUGCCCCUGCGCUCUGCUUGCCCUCUCCCACUUUCCUAUGUGGCCACUUCUGGUAACCUUGAUCUCUGAUCGGUCUCCAGGUCUAGUCACCCAUGACCUGAUGCUGCCAGUCUGCCUGGACUACCCUUUGGCGAAGAGGGCCUGUUAAUGGAUGCCUCUCCCCUGGUGGUGCUCCCAGACCCCCCUGCUUUAGAUGCCAAUUCUCAAGGAGACCUAAAGGCCAUGCAGGAGUGGCUGAUUCAGCUUGCCUGUACCUGACAAGCCUUGGAGCUUCACUUGCUGCAGUUGACUACUGCAAACCAGACCCUUCAAUACCCGGUUGCCUGUUUUCAGGAGCGUUCCUGGUUGGAGGAAACACGGCAGCUGAGAGAAGAGAGCGUGUUCUGGGCCCACCUGGAACCCUGAGCUUGAGACCAUUACCCGAAACCUGUAUGUGGCAGACACCAACUGCAACAGCAGCUGAAUUCUAAUUCUGAUAGGGUCCAUGAGAAGAGGUGAAGGCUGAACUUGCCUAGGUGGAAGUGCCCUCCAAACCUCAUGACUUUGUGGAUUUAGUGAUCUGCAUUCUCAGUCUUGCACCCUACAGAAAAGGAAAGAAGAAAAGAGGUACUCUUUGUCUUCUCCUUGUCCCUGUCCUCUGCUCCUGAACCUGUGCCAGUAGGUGGGGGAGGACUGCCACCUUACCCUGAGCAAGUGGGAAUGACACUGCCAGCACAAUUUUUGCUUCUGUUGUGGGACAUCAGGACAUGUGCUUGACUAUUGCUCUACAAGAAGGGAAACAUGCCUCCACCUUCUCUCACCCAGCCCUGCAAGGGGUAUUGACUUGGGGUCAGCAAUAAAGGUGAAACCUGUAGCCAAACUAAACUGCAGACCUUUCAGAUAAAGUUAUCUGUUCACUUGCAGAUCCCAGGCUGAGCCUGUUGUACUGCUGGUAUUACCUACCCUACCAGACUCUGGGGCAACUAGAAAUUUCAUUAAUGAAACUAUUGUCCAAGCCUUAUGUAUCCCUUUAUGAUAACAGCUCAGGCUGGGAAUAGUUGAGACCAUUUAUAGCUCCCCUCUUCAUCAGGCUCCCUGGAGUUGGAAACCCUCACCCUUGAUGUGGAAAUCUGCAAACACAGGGAAACUUUGCUUUGGCGCAGUCUGAUCCCACAUUACUUCCUGAUCCUGAGAUCCUUUUGGCUCACCUGUUAUGGUCCCCUGGUCCAGUGGAAAAGCUAUGAAGUAUUUUACAUCCAGUUUUUGCAGGAAACACUGUUAGAAACCCUGGAUGGUUGACCCAACCUAUGAUUUCAGGCUGGAAUCCCAACAGAUAGCAGGGUAUAUUUGAACCUUAAACUAAACAAAUUUCUAUAAUAUA
Long non-coding RNA from Gavialis gangeticus (Gharial), 1515 nucleotides. RefSeq lists it as uncharacterized. Lineage: Eukaryota; Metazoa; Chordata; Crocodylia; Gavialidae. The record is from RefSeq and is a predicted model, not a curated record. The transcript is spliced from 2 exons.